Molecule: transfer RNA, 72 nt
Filed under: Dictyobacter sp.
Lineage: Bacteria; Bacillati; Chloroflexota; Ktedonobacteria; Ktedonobacterales; Dictyobacteraceae
Also listed under: 1 other name
Description: tRNA-Thr
Rfam family: tRNA
About the family: Transfer RNA (tRNA) molecules are approximately 80 nucleotides in length. Their secondary structure includes four short double-helical elements and three loops (D, anti-codon, and T loops). Further hydrogen bonds mediate the characteristic L-shaped molecular structure. tRNAs have two regions of fundamental functional importance: the anti-codon, which is responsible for specific mRNA codon recognition, and the 3' end, to which the tRNAs corresponding amino acid is attached (by aminoacyl-tRNA synthetases). tRNAs cope with the degeneracy of the genetic code in two manners: having more than one tRNA (with a specific anti-codon) for a particular amino acid; and 'wobble' base-pairing, i.e. permitting non-standard base-pairing at the 3rd anti-codon position.
Source: RNAcentral
GCCGGUGUAGCUCAGUGGUAGAGCAAUGCUUUCGUAAAGCAUGGGUCGCGGGUUCGAUUCCCAUCACCGGCU